Molecule: ribosomal RNA, 251 nt
Filed under: uncultured bacterium
Lineage: Bacteria
Description: partial 16S ribosomal RNA
Rfam family: Bacterial small subunit ribosomal RNA
Source: RNAcentral
CGAGUGGCGAACGGGUGAGUAACGCGUAGGUGAUCUACCUUUUGGUUGGGGAUAUACCGUGGAAACACGGGGUAAUACCGAAUGAUGUCGUAUUCCUUGGGGGAAACGAUUAAAGGGGCUACGGCCUCGCCUGAAGAUGAGCCUGCGUUUGAUUAGCUAGUUGGUGGGGUAAAGGCCUACCAAGGCGUCGAUCAAUAGCCGGCCUGAGAGGGCGGUCGGCCACACUGGGACUGAGAUACGGCCCAGACUCC